Molecule: long non-coding RNA, 6881 nt
Filed under: Triticum aestivum (bread wheat)
Lineage: Eukaryota; Viridiplantae; Streptophyta; Magnoliopsida; Poales; Poaceae
Description: long non-coding RNA (TAES_LNC004894)
Source: RNAcentral
AGACAAUGCAACACAACAAGUUAAAGAUCAUGUUUUUCCUAGUUAACGUCUUGUAUCAACUACUAAAACUCUAGAAAAAAUAUGAAUAUAUUUAGAGGUUACAAACCAGUGUAGGCAAGCCCUCCGACACUUCCGUGUACGUGAUUUCUACAUGAUAUCCUCCCUCUUCUGACUCUAUAUCUUCAACACACUGCUCUUUGCCUUUUGCAUUUCUUUUGCUCAGGUGUCAGUGUCUGUGCACCGUUGUAUUCAUAAAUGUAUAGGAUACAUUAGUGUUGAAAACAAGUUAAAAAUAGAGGGGGUAGGAGAAAGUAUGACAAAGAAGAAGUUAAAAUCGUGGCACUAGCUAGAAGAGAAUUUCUACUACUAGUUUGUAAAUCAGCAUAUCAUGCCCGCCUGGUGCACUAGCGACACUAUCUCUGAGAUUGAACACAUGCGCAUUUAAAAAAAUCUGAACAGAAAAAAACAAUCUGAACAUAUAUCCAGCAGCUACUAGUUGUGAUCCCUGUUAUGAAAAACAUUCAUCCCAACACACACACGCGUGCAAAGCACAGGAUUGGCUAGCCAGCUUUUACAAAUGAUUUGAUGUUUGUUAUCUCAAGCAGGGCAUUGCCAAGCCUACAAAAAAUCUGGCUAGCAUAACAAAGACACCAUCGUUGUCAUUAUAGUAAACAAAAACUGAACCUGGAACAGGCAUACACAUUGUCUCGACUCUACUUCAGGAAUAUACAAACUUUAGUGAUUGCUUGAGUUAAAAAAAACAAGACAAAAAAUAUAUAAUCAUUCCCCUGGGAUCCCACAAUGUCAUCGCCUCUCAAACAUCUCCCAAAUCAUGUCCACCCCUCCCCACUCCCCCAAGCAACUGAUCUGCUGCUAGUAUUUGAAAAUGUAAGCAUGCAUCGACGCACAGCGAAAAAAGUCACCAAAAAUUACAGCCCCCGUCAGCACACAUGACAUCACAUCCAUGUUGACUGCAGAAAAAAAGAGGACUUAGUGCUACUGUAGUUAGCAAGUGUCCGUUUGAAAAAAGAGUGUUGUGGAAGCACAUAAGGUUGAUGCCAAGUUAAACUGAAGCAAUACACACCAUGCAGAUAUAUUUUGGUCCAUUUUCAUUCUUUAAACAAAAGCCUGCCUACCAAAUACCACUGCUAACAAUCCCUCUAAUUCAGCUACAAACUCAACAAGACUAUUCCUGCAAAAACUAGUACACGGAUUCAGAGAACUAAAAAAAUGACAAACAAACACACAUUCAGGUUAACUCAGGUGAAAAGAACUCUCUGCAAAAUCCAGCUUCACCGGGGACCUCUCGACCUAAAAAUAAUCAAAAGAGGAACUAUCUGUACUUAAUGAACCCAUCUCUAGCAGUACACUUGCAAUUAGGAUAUUGGGAAAACAAAAUCAAAACGAAAGUAAGGUGCAGAUCCAAAAAAACAAUGCGUGAGCUUACUCUGAAUAAACAUCAUGUGCUUACACGCGUCAGGUUUUGGAUGGAUUUGAAAUUUGAAAUCAAAAGCUAGUCUCACCUCUAGCUGCUUAGGUUAGUACAACAAUGGUCUCACCUUUUUUGCAUGACUAAUGUCGGACAUGCAACUGUCCCCCUUCUCCUCGUCGCCCCCUCCUCCCGACAAAACAAAGGCGAGUUGCAACCAGGUUAGAAAACAUGCAGAUGCGGUUGGGGGCGUCGCUUGCAGUUACAUGGCUAGCGUCAGACAUGUAACUGCCCCCAUCUCCUUGCCGCCCCUCUGACAAAACAAUACCUAGUCGCAGCCAUGUUGGAAGACAUGCAAUUGCAAUCGGGGGUGACGCUUGCAGUUGCAUAACUAGUGUCGGACAUGCAACUAUCCCUCCUCUCACCGUCGUCCCCUCCAACAAAACCCAGUUGCAACCAUGUUGGAAGACAUGUAGUUGCAGUCGAGAGGCGACACUUGCAGUUGCAUGCUAGUGUCAGAGAUGCAACUUACACAUUCCAUCAAAACAAAAAGGCCAGUUGCGACCACAUUGGAAGGCAUGCAACUUGCAGUUGCAUAACUAGUGUCGGACAUGCAACCAUCCCUCCUCUCACCAUCGUCCCCUCCAACAAAACCCAGUUGCAACCAUGUUGGAAGACAUGUAAUUGCAGUUGAGAGGCGACACUUGCAGUUGCAUGCUAGUGUCAGAGAUGCAACUUACACAUUCCAUCAAAACAAAAAGGCCAGUUGACCACAUUGGAAGGCAUGCAGUUGCAGUCCGGGGUUGACAAUUGCAGUUGGAUGCCUAGAAUCGAACAUGCAACUCCCACUUUCCCACAAAACAAAAAGACCAGUUGCGAUCACGUUGGAGAGUUGCGGCCGGGGGUAACAGUUGCAGUUGCAUGCCUAUUACUAGACAUGCAACUACCCCCCCCCCCCCAACUUGGAACUACCUCACCGACCGCCGCCCUCCGACAAAAACACAAGGCCAGUUGUGGUCGGUAGGGAGACAUGCAAAUGCAGUUGGGGCGACACUUGCAGUUGCAAGCCUACUGUCGGCAUGCAAUUGCAACCAUGUUGGAAGGCAUGCAUUUGCAGUCGGGCUGACAAUUGCUAUUGCAUGCCUACAUGCAACUCCCACCUCCCCACAAACAAAAAGGACCAGUUGCAACCACGUUGCAAGGCAUGCAGUAGCAGUCCAUGGUGGCAAUUGCAAUUGGAUGCCUAGAAUCGUACAUGCAACUCCCACCAUCCAGUAAUACAAAAAGACUAGUUGCGACCAUGUUGGGAGAGUUGCAGUCGGAGGUAAUGUUGUAGUUGCAUGCUUAGUACUCGAAACACAAGACUAGUUAUGGUCAGUAGGGAGACAUGCAAAUGCAGUUGGGGGUGACACCUACAGUUGCAAGCCUACUGUUGAACAUGCAGUUGCAACCAUGUUGGAAAGCAUGUAGUUGCAUGUGUAAUAUUGGACAUGCAACUCCCACCUUCCAACAAAACAAAACGACCAGUUGCAACCAUGUUGGAAGGAAUGCAGUUGCAGUCCGGUGGUGACAGUUGCAAUUGCAUGCCUAGUAUCAGACUUGCAACUCCCACCUUCCCACAAACAAAUAGACCAGUGGCGACCAUGUUGGGAGAUUUUAGGUGCAAUCGGGGGUGACAGUUGCAGUUGCAUGCCUAGUACUAGACUUGCAACUACCUCACCCCCGCCGCCCUCCAACAAAAACGCAAGGCCGGUUCGGGUUGGUAGGGAGACAUGCAAAUGCAGUUGGGGGCAACACUUGCCGUUGAAAGCCUACUGUCGGACAUGAAGUUGCAAACAUGUUGGAAGGCAUGCAAAUGCGGGGUGGGGGUGACAAUUGCAGUUGCAUGCCUAGUAUCAGACAUGCAACUCCCACCUUCCAACAAAACAAAAGGACUAGUUGCGACCACUUUGAAAGGCAUGCAGUUCGUAGUCGGGGGUGACGACUACAGUUGCAUGCCUAGUAUGACACAUGCAACUCCCACUUUCCAACAAAACAAAAAGACUAGUUGCAACAACAUUAGCAGUGGUGCAAUUGCAGUUGCGGGUGACUGUUGCAGUUGCAUGCCUAACACUGCACUUGCAAUUACCCCCUCCCUCGACUUGCAACUUCCUCACCUCCCCUCUCUCUUUCCCCCUCCAACAGAAACACAAAGCCAGUUGCAGUCGGUAGGGAGACAUGCAGUAAUAGUUGGGCGCGACACCUAUAGUUGCAAGCUACUAUCGGACAUGCGGUUGCAGUCAUGGGUGACAGUUGCAUGCCUAGUACCGGACAUGCAACUCCCCCCCCACUUGCAACUACGUCACCCCCUCUCUCUCCUCCGCCGCCCUACGACAAAAACACAGACAUGCAAUUACAGUUGGGCGUGAGACUUGUAGUUGCAAGCCAACUAACGAAAUGCGGUUGUAGUUGGUGGUCACAGUUGUAGUUGCAUGCCCAGUAUCGGUCAUGCAAUUCCCCAAAAAAACUCGUUGCAUCCCUUGUUGGAAGGCAUGCAAUUGCAGUUGGGGUGUGACCGUUGCAAGUGCAUGCCUACUACUGGACAUGCAAAUGCCCUCCCCCUCGGACUUCCAACUACCCCACCCCUCACCCUAUGACAAGAAAGCCCUGGGAAAAUACAACAAAACCCUACAAAAGCCCCUAGCUGUGGGUCGAGGGUUGAGUUGGCAUUGGGUCGGGCCCCUAGGGGUGCAAGUGCAACUACAAAAUCCCGAGGAAAAGCUCCCGGGUUGUGAGUCAAGCGUUGACUAGCAACUUGGGCACCUACAAAAUCCUAGGAAAAAGCUCCCAGGAUGUGAGUCAAAAGGUUGACUUGCAACUCAGGCUACUACAGAAAAUGUAUGAAAAAGCCCCUAGUUGCGAGUCGAGGGAUGACUUGCAAAUUGGGGGCAACUACAAAAACCUAUGAAAAAAUUCCUAGUUGUGAGUAAAGGGUUGACUUGCAACUAGGGCAGUUACAAAACCUAUGAAAAAGCCUCCCUAGGAGCAUCUCGAUACUUGACAUGCAACUAGGUCGGGGGCCUGGGGUGCAACUACAAAAGCCUACGAAAAAGCCUCAAUUGUGAGUCAAGGGUUGACUUCCAACUGCCCCUCCCCCUACAAACUAUGAAAAAAGCCUAGUUGAGUGCCAAUAGUUGACAUGCAACUGGGAGCAGGGUCCCAGGGUGCAACUACAAAACUACGAAAAAGCCCCCAAUUAAGAGUCGAGGGUUGACUUGUAAGACAAAUAUGAGUGUUCUAUCAAACUAUCAUUCCUAAAAAAACCUCUCCAGGAAAAAAGAAUAUAAAAUGUGUAUUAUAACAAAAAAUAGUAAAAAAUAUAACAAAAACAAGUAAAACAAUUUCAGAUUUUUACUUGAAGUAUACCGAAAACAAAAAAAAGCUGAAAAUUGGAAAACAUGUACAUCCAUACUUGAAAAAAUGCAGUUCAGAGUUACAAAAACUAAAAACCCUACAAAAAGCUUAUAGUUCAGAUUUGAAUUAUGUAUUUGGUUUGCCACAAACGUCACCUUCGCUCCCAUCAUGUUGUUGAAACGGACCCUUUCAUUGCAUGGCACAACCUAUUUUGGUUGAACACAAAAAAGCAAAGAACAAAAGUUAGGAGUGGUCUCAUGACAAAGACUAAUAUAAAAAGAAACAAAGGAUAAAAAAUGAGAAAAUAUAUUAAAAAAAUAAGCUAGUGAGUUACCCUGCGUUUUUGAAGUGCUCCCAUACAUACAUGCUGAAACCGCUUCCCUCACUCUCAUAGUUGCAAUGGUUCAAACAAACUCCACAAGCCAUCUCCUGUGCGCAUAAAAAAAAGCAAAAAAGAAAAUAAUUAAAUGGGUAACUCACUAACAGCACAAAUAUGAAAAAGUAAAAAACUGGAUUCAGAAAAGCAUAACUAGAAAAUGAAUGAUUGCAAAAUAUCUGGAUUUCAGCAUUUAUUCCUGUAUGUUUAUGACUGUGGUGUGAACCCAAAUCCUGCUUACCAGAUGCUAAGCGCCAUUAUUUAUACACAACAAAAAAGAACUACUGCUGCCCCUAAUUAAUCUAAUAUAGCAGUGGUGACAAACUACUAGGGGCAUGUGCCAGCAAAUAUCCCCGCUGUGUCGGCACUCAGCAGAAACAACAGCAAGAUCAAGUUGUCAAAAAAAAUGACUAGUAGAGGUUAUAUCCUAACAAAAGGUCAACUUAGGCACCCUAAAAACACAUGCUCCUCCUGUAUAGAAGCAUGGAAGAACUAGCUUAAUUAAUAUUUGUUCUCCUGCAAACGAAGUCUCCAUGAUUUAGUGACUCUCAAAAAGUCAUAGCAUAAAAAUAGCAGUACUGGCAGUACUUUUGCUCAAUACUAUUCCAGAUCUUCUCGGCCAAAGAUCCUAAUUAAUCUCUAAGUACCUACAAAGCAAAAAAAUGAUUAGUAGUACUCGUAGUACUAGUUCUGGUCCUACACAUGUAUAGAUCAAUCAGGUCAGCUCUAGUGCUGUUGAGCUUUUGCACCUGCACAAAACUGUAAAAAACCAGUACCACACCAGAAAAAUGGGUUUCAGUACAAAUCUGAAAAUUUAAAAAUCAACAUGCCGCUGCUAGUGAUGGGUUCAGUAAUCAUUAUCUUGAUUCCACCGAAAAAAUUAGAGCAUGGUACUGAUUCUAGGGUUCAGCAAAAUCUGAAAAACAAAAAAAAUGCUACUGCUAGAAAAUACGUUCAGUAAUCAUUCUCUUUGACUCCUUAGAAAGAUUUGAACAUGCUACUGAUUAAUAGGGUUUCAGAAAAAAUCUGAAAAAACAAAAAAAUACAAGCCCACUCCUAGUGAUAGGUUCAGUAAUAAUCUCUUGUUUCCAGAGAAUGGUUUCAAAACAAGCUACUGAUUAAUAGGGUUUCAGCAAAAUCUGAAAAAAAAAACAUGUCACUCCUAGUGAUAGGUUCAGUAUUAAUCCUCUUGUUUCCAGAGAAUGAUUUCAACAUGCUACUGAUUGCACAAGGGUUUCGGCAAUCUGAAAAAAAACAAACAAAAAUGGACGCACUACAUACCACUGCUUGAAGAAAAAGGACACGAAAAAAGGACUAAAUCUGGGAGGGAUUCCAUGCUUCAAGCUACUAAUCUAGACUUGAUCCAAACAAAAAAUGGAACCCAAUCCCCUCAGAUCUGAAGCAGAGCGCCAACAAAUAAACAAAAAAAUUGGAGGAAAGAGGGUAACACUUACUCCACUAGCAGCAUCGCCCAGGCUCUCACUGGCCGUUCAAGAGCAAAGGCGAUUUCUUUCGUUCCACCGCAGAGAUCUUUGGCUUUUUGACAGAGAAAGAACAGAGAGAUAGACGAAGAAAUGGACUGAUUUGGCCACGGGGUGCUCUCGGCCGCCGCUUCCCAUUCCAUUUCUUUACUGCGGCCAAAAAAACAAGACAGUAAAAAAAAGAACAAACAAACAAAAAGGC